This 465-nucleotide ribosomal RNA is filed under the name bacterium YGB3003. RNAcentral's name for it is "bacterial SSU rRNA". It matches the Rfam family "Bacterial small subunit ribosomal RNA", at positions 28 to 460 of the family's 1533-position model. The record is from RNAcentral.
GAUGAACGCUGGCGGCGUGCUUAACACAUGCAAGUCGAACGGAACAUUUCGCCCGAAGAUUGAAGUAGCUUGCUAUGGAUUGACUCAACUGAAAUGUUUAGUGGCGGACGGGUGAGUAACGCGUGGGUAACCUACCUUACACAGGGGGAUAACAGUUAGAAAUGACUGCUAAUACCGCAUAAGCGCACAGUAUCGCAUGAUACAGUGUGAAAAACUCCGGUGGUGUAAGAUGGACCCGCGUCUGAUUAGCUAGUUGGUGAGGUAACGGCCCACCAAGGCGACGAUCAGUAGCCGGCCUGAGAGGGUGAACGGCCACAUUGGAACUGAGACACGGUCCAAACUCCUACGGGAGGCAGCAGUGGGGAAUAUUGCACAAUGGGGGAAACCCUGAUGCAGCGACGCCGCGUGAGUGAUGAAGUAUUUCGGUAUGUAAAGCUCUAUCAGCAGGGAAGAUCAUGACGUACA